This 388-nucleotide long non-coding RNA is filed under the name Elaeis guineensis (African oil palm). RNAcentral's name for it is "long non-coding RNA (EGUI_LNC046192)". Lineage: Eukaryota; Viridiplantae; Streptophyta; Magnoliopsida; Arecales; Arecaceae. The record is from RNAcentral.
ACUCUCUCCAUAAGCAUGCAAGGCAUCUCAUCACGAUAUCAAUGCAUCACAGCGGAAUAAAUUCAAAUAAUUAUUAUUCAACUGAAAUUCAAGUAAUUAAAUCAAAUGUCUUACAUCCAAUAAAAUUUUUUGCUAAAAAUAAAAAUAAUAGAUCUAAGUUCAAUUGAAGUUGACAAUGCAAAUCUCGCUUCUAAAAGCUCUGUCCCAAUAUUUCGUCCCAUACUCGAUAUUAAUUAUCUGAAUCUGAAAAAUAGAAAGAAAGGUAAUGAGCUAGACAGCCCAGUAAGUAACAAAUAUCUCAACUAGAUAAUUCAGAUAUUAUAUAAUUUUUAAGAAUAAUGCUGCAAAUAAACAUAAGAGUAUAUUUCAUGCUGAUUUAAUACAAAUC